RNAcentral lists this ribosomal RNA (526 nucleotides) under uncultured bacterium. RNAcentral's name for it is "bacterial SSU rRNA". It matches the Rfam family "Bacterial small subunit ribosomal RNA", at positions 28 to 600 of the family's 1533-position model. The record is from RNAcentral.
AACGAACGCUGGCGGCAGGCCUAACACAUGCAAGUCGAGCGCUGUAGCAAUACAGAGCGGCGCACGGGUGAGUAACACGUGGGAACGUGCCCUUUGGUUCGGAAUAACCCAGGGAAACUUGGGCUAAUACCGGAUGAGCCCUAACGGGGAAAGAUUUAUCGCCGAAGGAGCGGCCCGCGUCGGAUUAGCUAGUUGGUGGGGUAAAAGCCUACCAAGGCAACGAUCCGUAGCUGGUUUGAGAGAACGACCAGCCACACUGGGACUGAGACACGGCCCAGACUCCUACGGGAGGCAGCAGUGGGGAAUCUUGGACAAUGGGGGAAACCCUGAUCCAGCCAUGCCGCGUGAGUGAUGAAGGCCCUAGGGUUGUAAAACUCUUUCGGCGGGGACGAUAAUGACGGUACCCGCAGAAGAAGCUCCGGCUAACUUCGUGCCAGCAGCCGCGGUAAUACGAAGGGGGCUAGCGUUGUUCGGAAUUACUGGGCGUAAAGCGCGCGCAGGCGGUUCUUCAAGUCAGAGGUGAAAG